UUGAACGCUGGCGGCAGGCCUAACACAUGCAAGUCGAAUGGUAACAGGAAACAGCUUGCUGUUUCGCUGACGAGUGGCGGACGGGUGAGUAAUGUCUGGGAAACUGCCUGAUGGAGGGGGAUAACUACUGGAAACGGUAGCUAAUACCGCAUAACGUCGCAAGACCAAAGAGGGGGACCUUCGGGCCUCUUGCCAUCAGAUGUGCCCAGAUGGGAUUAGCUAGUAGGUGGGGUAACGGCUCACCUAGGCGACGAUCCCUAGCUGGUCUGAGAGGAUGACCAGCCACACUGGAACUGAGACACGGUCCAGACUCCUACGGGAGGCAGCAGUGGGGAAUAUUGCACAAUAGGCGCAAGCCUGAUGCAGCCAUGCCGCGUGUAUGAAGAAGGCCUUCGGGUUGUAAAGUACUUUCAGCGGGGAGGAAGGGAGUAAAGUUAAUACCUUUGCUCAUUGACGUUACCCGCAGAAGAAGCACCGGCUAACUCCGUG
RNAcentral lists this ribosomal RNA (489 nucleotides) under uncultured bacterium. RNAcentral's name for it is "partial 16S ribosomal RNA". It matches the Rfam family "Bacterial small subunit ribosomal RNA", at positions 30 to 507 of the family's 1533-position model. The record is from RNAcentral.